Juglans microcarpa x Juglans regia is the source of this 1285-nucleotide long non-coding RNA. RefSeq lists it as uncharacterized. The record is from RefSeq and is a predicted model, not a curated record. Lineage: Eukaryota; Viridiplantae; Streptophyta; Magnoliopsida; Fagales; Juglandaceae. The transcript is spliced from 4 exons.
UGAAUGUUCUGAGUUUGGCCGUGCAGAGAAAGUUUCAAAAAUUUUCUUUGCUUGUUGAAAGAAAGUGGGAAAAAUACUGGGAAUCAUCAUCAGUUUGAUUAUUUUCUUCCGAAAUAUUAUUCUACGGAAAAUCACGGUGUGGGUCUUCGGCAUCGUCAUCUCACGGUGUGGGUCUUCGACAUCAUCGUCUCGCUGUGUGGGUCUUCGUCUUUUUCUUCACAGUACUCUACCGUGUUGGUCUUCGUCUUAUUCUUCUUCACCGUGUGCAUGCAUGGAAAAAGGGAAGGAAAACCCAUCUCUCUCAACACCAUGUAGCUCAAAUCCCUCAACUGCGGAAAUCCCAACAACUGCUCCAAACUUUCUAAAUUACAUGCACGGUUACGGACCAGGGUCUGCAUGGUCACCGGCUUUUAUCACAUAUCCAAAUGCAUACCAAUGUCCAAGCAACAUUCAGAUGAAUACUGGUUAUCCAUUUCAAUAUGAGAUGAGACCUCCGAGUCCUCCCAUGGCUACAAGUUCCAGAACAACUGAAAGAUUCGAAGAGGAUACACCCGGGUGUAGGGAAACUGAAGUGCCAUGUUCCUCCUCUAGGGUUCAUGAAUAAGGUGAAGAGGAUAUGCCAGAUUCAGGGGAAACUUGUGAUAGUACUGCUGAGACACCUCCGUUAGAACGAAUGGAUGGUGGUGAUAUGAUUGAGGAGCCAAAAGCGGGGAUGGAGUUUGAUUCUUUUGAGGAAUUAAUGAGUUAUUAUAAACUAUAUGCUAAGAAAUGCGGGUUUGGAUCCAUGACACAAAGGAGUGAAAGGGAUGACAAAGGGAGUGUCAAAUAUGUCACUCUUAGUUGUGCCCGUGGGGGAAAAGCUCGGAAUAGGACAAUGAAUGUUGCCAAACCAUGACUGACAGCAAAGACUGACUGUAAGGCAAUGAUUAAUGCCUUAAAAGUUGGGGGAAAGAUGCGGUUGACCACAGUUCAUAAUACCCACAAUCAUGGGCUGAGUCCACAGAAAUUCCGUUUCUUCCAAUGUAAUCGCGAAGUUAGUGAGACUGUAAAAAGGGUACUAGAUACUAAUGACCUAGCUGACAUUCAAAUGAACAAGAGUUUCGGAUCUCUUGUUGUGGGUGCGAGAGGAUUUGAGAACCUCCAAUUUUUAGAAAAAGAUUGUCGCAAUUACAUCGAUAAGGCAAGACAUCUAUGACUUGGAGCAGGUGGUGCUGGAGCGCUUCAAGACUAUUUUUGUAGGAUGCAGUACAAGAACCUCAGAUUCUUUGCCUUGAUGGAUUUAGAU